This 468-nucleotide ribosomal RNA is filed under the name uncultured bacterium. RNAcentral's name for it is "partial 16S ribosomal RNA". It matches the Rfam family "Bacterial small subunit ribosomal RNA", at positions 28 to 507 of the family's 1533-position model. The record is from RNAcentral.
GACAAACGCUGGCGGCGUGCUUAACACAUGCAAGUCGAACGGAAAGGCCCUGCUUUUGUGGGGUGCUCGAGUGGCGAACGGGUGAGUAACACGUGAGUAACCUGCCCUUGACUUUGGGAUAACUUCAGGAAACUGGGGCUAAUACCGGAUAGGAGCUCCUGCUGCAUGGUGGGGGUUGGAAAGUUUCGGCGGUUGGGGAUGGACUCGCGGCUUAUCAGCUUGUUGGUGGGGUAGUGGCUUACCAAGGCUUUGACGGGUAGCCGGCCUGAGAGGGUGACCGGCCACAUUGGGACUGAGAUACGGCCCAGACUCCUACGGAAGGCAGCAGUGGGGAAUAUUGCACAAUGGGCGGAAGCCUGAUGCAGCAACGCCGCGUGCGGGAUGACGGCCUUCGGGUUGUAAACCGCUUUCGCCUGUGACGAAGCGUGAGUGACGGUAAUGGGUAAAGAAGCACCGGCUAACUACGUG